GAACAGUUGUCAGUCAGUAAGGCCUGGCCGGCUGCUGUUAACUACAUUUGUUUAAAAUGUAGUGUACCUAAAGACAAAGCCGGCGAGUUAUUGAAAGCAAGAUGACUGAUUAAAAAAAUUAUUCUUUGUCCUUUGCAAUACCCAAAAUUAUGUUAAAUAAAGCCUAUGAGAAAGUUUUCCCAUCCUAUGAGAUUAACUGUCUGUGUGAUGGUUGUGAUUAAAAAUGGAAAUGGAUUCUCUGACAAAAACACUGCCCUUCUUUGUGUGAAAGACACAAAGGUGAGGAUGUCCCAGCUGAAAGGUGGUGUGUAAAUAAUGACAACAUCCCCCCACUCCCCAGCUGUAAGAGGUAACUCAGGUCUAGUUUUCAAGGACACAAGAUGAAAGGGGUCUUGAUUCUCAUCACAUUUACCUCUCCCCAAUUUGUACAGGUCCCAUAGACUGGAGUCACGCUGGCAGCCGGGUCCCACUCUCUGUGACUCCCCCACUCUCCUGCCUUUGGCAGUCUCACCUCCCUCACCAAACCUUGCUGCUUUAGACGGCGCCAGCCAGCAGUAGCAUUUUGUGGAGAUAACUUUUUGAACCCACAAGACUGAAACAACUUCCCUUAACUGAAAUGACCCCAGCAGAGCUAUUCACUAGAAGACAUCCUCCUUGAUUUCUUGGGGGGCCCAUAAGAUGACUGAAGUUGUAGAACAGCAAAGACUUGGAACAGACAUCGAGGUCCUAUUGCUCCUGUCGGAAACUUCUGUUGACUGCAGCAUGAGUUGGAUGGGACCCAGAGAAACCAAAUACAGACAAGUAAUGAUGAGUUGGCCAUACAAGCAAGGAAAAUCACAGAUAACAGGUGCACACCAAUUAGCAAUGUAUCUUUUGGGUCAUCCAGUACAUCUUUCUGACACUAUGAAGUUGUUUCUUAUGGCAUAUUUUUGUGGUUUUUUGUGCCUAGAUUAAAUUUCCUAAGUGAUGCCUAUCUCAAGGGAGAGGUUGUGUUGCCUAGAGCAUCCUGCUGUCAGGAGUUUUUUCCCAUUGUUAACAUCAUCAUAUUUCUUCUAUUUAUGUCCCUUUACAAAUUUCCUUCUUUCCCUUUGAUCUCUUUUAACUAGUGUGAUGUUGUCUUUAGCUAGCAUUAAGGAAACUCAUAGAUAUUUAGCUCACCUAAUCUUUCCUAAUGUAGCAGUCCUUUCACCCCUCUUGUUAUUCUUCAUUUCUUCUCAUCACACAACUGCCUGUCAGUAUCUUUUUUAGUUAUGAGAUUUUAAAGACGUGGCGCAUUUCUCUGAUCUAACAACAGAUCUGGUGUAGAGCUGAGCCCCCUUAGUGUCUUGUCACCGUGUCCAGGGGGAAGCUGCAAGCAUUCUGAACAGGCACACAGGUAUCCUGCUUGAACCACUUCCUUGGUGCCACUUUAUUGACCCACAAAACACUACCAAAACAGUUAACCUAGGAGUUAAAAAAUAAAGUACAUGGCAUUUUUUAAUUUAUUUCUCA
This 1491-nucleotide long non-coding RNA is filed under the name Junco hyemalis (dark-eyed junco). Its description in RNAcentral is "lncRNA (ENSJHYG00000018438.1)". The record is from RNAcentral. Lineage: Eukaryota; Metazoa; Chordata; Aves; Passeriformes; Passerellidae.